CUGACUCACUACUUUUUAUGUAUUUUUAAUAUUUUUAAAAGAUAUAAUUAAUUUAAUAAUCAUGAUGUUCUAACGACAACAUCACAGUAUAUUAAUUUUUGAUACCAUUGUCGAGAAUUAAACUCGGGUCGCUCGCAUGACAAGAGGGAAUACUCACCAUUAUAUGAUAAUUAAUUGAUAUCUCAUAAUGUUGUCGUUAGGAUAUCAUGAU
This 211-nucleotide long non-coding RNA is filed under the name Elaeis guineensis (African oil palm). Its description in RNAcentral is "long non-coding RNA (EGUI_LNC042997)". Lineage: Eukaryota; Viridiplantae; Streptophyta; Magnoliopsida; Arecales; Arecaceae. The record is from RNAcentral.